RNAcentral lists this ribosomal RNA (603 nucleotides) under Trametes strumosa. RNAcentral describes it as "partial 28S ribosomal RNA". It matches the Rfam family "Eukaryotic large subunit ribosomal RNA", at positions 59 to 648 of the family's 3401-position model. Lineage: Eukaryota; Fungi; Basidiomycota; Agaricomycetes; Polyporales; Polyporaceae. The record is from RNAcentral.
AAGGAACUAACAGGAUUCCCCUAGUAACUGCGAGUGAAGCGGGAAAAGCUCAAAUUUAAAAUCUGGCGGCCUUGGUCGUCCGAGUUGUAGUCUGGAGAAGUGCUUUCCGCGCUGGACCGUGUACAAGUCUCUUGGAACAGAGCGUCAUAGAGGGUGAGAAUCCCGUCUUUGACACGGACUACCAGUGCUUUGUGAUGCGCUCUCAAAGAGUCGAGUUGUUUGGGAAUGCAGCUCAAAAUGGGUGGUAAAUUCCAUCUAAAGCUAAAUAUUGGCGAGAGACCGAUAGCGAACAAGUACCGUGAGGGAAAGAUGAAAAGCACUUUGGAAAGAGAGUUAAACAGUACGUGAAAUUGCUGAAAGGGAAACGCUUGAAGUCAGUCGCGUCUGCCGGAACUCAGCCUUGCUUUUGCUUGGUGCACUUUCCGGUUGACGGGCCAGCAUCGAUUUUGACCGGCGGAAAAGGGUUGGAGAAAUGUGGCACCUCCGGGUGUGUUAUAGUCUCUGGUCGCAUACGUCGGUUGGGAUCGAGGAACGCAGCGUGCCGCAAGGCAGGGGUUCGCCCACUUUCGCGCUUAGGAUGCUGGCAUAAUGGCUUUAAACGAC